This 71-nucleotide transfer RNA is filed under the name Loxodonta africana (African savanna elephant). It matches the Rfam family "tRNA". Rfam says of the family: Transfer RNA (tRNA) molecules are approximately 80 nucleotides in length. Their secondary structure includes four short double-helical elements and three loops (D, anti-codon, and T loops). Further hydrogen bonds mediate the characteristic L-shaped molecular structure. tRNAs have two regions of fundamental functional importance: the anti-codon, which is responsible for specific mRNA codon recognition, and the 3' end, to which the tRNAs corresponding amino acid is attached (by aminoacyl-tRNA synthetases). tRNAs cope with the degeneracy of the genetic code in two manners: having more than one tRNA (with a specific anti-codon) for a particular amino acid; and 'wobble' base-pairing, i.e. permitting non-standard base-pairing at the 3rd anti-codon position. The record is from Rfam by way of RNAcentral. Lineage: Eukaryota; Metazoa; Chordata; Mammalia; Proboscidea; Elephantidae.
GCAGUGGUGGUUCAGUGGUAGAGUUCUUGCCUUCCAUGCAAGAGACCUGGGUUCAUGUCCCAGCCAAUGCU